RNAcentral lists this ribosomal RNA (301 nucleotides) under uncultured bacterium. RNAcentral's name for it is "partial 16S ribosomal RNA". It matches the Rfam family "Bacterial small subunit ribosomal RNA", at positions 509 to 809 of the family's 1533-position model. The record is from RNAcentral.
CAGUCGCCGCGGUAAUACAGAGGAUGCAAGCGUUAUCCGGAAUGAUUGGGCGUAAAGCGUCUGUAGGUGGCUUUUCAAGUCCGCCGUCAAAUCCCAGGGCUCAACCCUGGACAGGCGGUGGAAACUACCAAGCUGGAGUACGGUAGGGGCAGGGGGAAUUUCCGGUGGAGCGGUGAAAUGCGUUGAGAUCGGAAAGAGCACCAACGGCGAAAGCACUCUGCUGGGCCGACACUGACACAGAGAGACGAAAGCUAGGGGAGCAAAUGGGAUUAGAUACCCCCGUAGUCCCUGUCUCUUAUAU